This 427-nucleotide long non-coding RNA is filed under the name Malus domestica (apple). RNAcentral describes it as "long non-coding RNA (MDOM_LNC011703)". The record is from RNAcentral. Lineage: Eukaryota; Viridiplantae; Streptophyta; Magnoliopsida; Rosales; Rosaceae.
UUCCUUCCAUCCUUCCAUCCUUCCUGGUGUGGUGCAGGGGUGGAAUGCUGAAGCGGUGUUGAAAGAAAAGUGAAGAUGGCGGUGGUGGUGGUGGUGAAUGGUGAUGGUCUUCAUUUCUCUGUUUCUGUUUGUUUUUCUGGCAGUCAAAUUUGCCACACCUGAUGGUAUGGUAUUAUUAUUCUUCUUUCUUCUUCCCAGUUUCCAAACUCCCCAAUAUAUUAAUAUUAUGAAGGAACAUGUAUAUGUAAAUGGGACUGAUAGGAGCUCUAUCUUAUCGUGUUUGGUUUAGCAGCAAGCAUGAGCGAUGUGAAUGGGACUGAUAGGAUACUCAGAUUCAACUGUAAGGUUUAGUAGACAAAUUUUGCUCAGCACAAGUAUAACAUCGAAACUAUGUCAGCCGAAAACAUACAAAUCAUAUUUAGUAUUU